This 253-nucleotide ribosomal RNA is filed under the name uncultured bacterium. RNAcentral describes it as "partial 16S ribosomal RNA". It matches the Rfam family "Bacterial small subunit ribosomal RNA", at positions 524 to 776 of the family's 1533-position model. The record is from RNAcentral.
UACGUAGGGGGCAAGCGUUGUCCGGAUUUAUUGGGCGUAAAGAGCGUGUAGGCGGCCAGACAGGUCUGCUGUGAAAACUCGAGGCUCAACCUCGAGACGCCGGUGGAAACCGUCUGGCUAGAGUCCGGAAGAGGAGAGUGGAAUUCCUGGUGUAGCGGUGAAAUGCGUAGAUAUCGGGAGGAACACCAGUAGCGAAGGCGGCACUCUGGGCCGGUACUGACGCUGAGGAGCGAAAGCGUGGGGAGCGAACAGG